AGCGAAGGCCUCUCCUCCUUUUUUCUUAUAGUCUGGCUGACGUAAAAAUCGUAGGGAAUACCGGGUAAAUCUGGGCCCUUCCUUGGUUACAAACUGGUCACCAAGGAAGGCCUAGACCAAACCACCACAACACUGAAGAGCAGUGGCCCUAAAACUGAGCUCUGGGGAACCCCACUGAUGGCUGGCCACCAGCCUGGUGUAACAGCCUUUACUACAACCCUCUGGACCAGACCCAUCCACCAGUUGUUCACCCACCACACUGUGGACUUGUCCAUCUCUGUGCUGGACAUUUUAUCCAGAAGGAUACUGUGAGAGACAGUACCAAAAGCUUUGCUAAAAUCCCAAACCACCACAUGUACCAGCUUCCCUUGGCCAGCUAGAUGGGUGAUCUAGUCAUAAAAGGAAGCUAUCCAUGACUACAGGAUAUCAGUGGGCCCAUAAGCUGACAUUCAAUUGACAAAAACAUCCAAGUUUUUAUGGCACCUACCUCAAAGAAAGCUCUGCCGUAGCAAAAGAAAAGAAGAUUACUUGUGUUUUGUGAUGUGACUGGGUAUUUUCUAGUUUGCAUUUCAAAAUAGGUAAAUAAGUCCCAGAGCAGUCAGAUGAGGAAGAAAGAUGGGUUUAUAGGUUGGCCUAACCUUCUCACAUACAUCCUACACUGGCAGUUAUUAAACAGAGUUCUGCAAACCCCUUAUCCCUUCUCAGAAAAUACACACCUGACCAAAAUCUAGGAAUGCUGGAUCAGGCUGUGGACCAUCAGUACCAUGGAAGGAACAAGCAUUUAGUGAAUGACUCCAUGGUAUAUUUACAACACGUAAUUCAAGAGCAACUCCACUAAGGAAAUGAUGACCUCUCUCGUCAGAUUUCCUUGAAAUAAGGUUAAUAUAGUAUCUAAAAUAAGAAAUAAAUUUCUUUUGGAAAAAG
Molecule: long non-coding RNA, 924 nt
Organism: Pseudopipra pipra
Lineage: Eukaryota; Metazoa; Chordata; Aves; Passeriformes; Pipridae
Exons: 3
Source: RefSeq, a predicted model, not a curated record